Long non-coding RNA from Ictidomys tridecemlineatus (thirteen-lined ground squirrel), 698 nucleotides. RefSeq lists it as uncharacterized. The record is from RefSeq and is a predicted model, not a curated record. NCBI's taxonomy places the organism in Eukaryota, Metazoa, Chordata, Mammalia, Rodentia, Sciuridae.
ACCGAUCCCCGAUCCGCCAGGGGCUCAGGCAGGAGCCCUGCCCUGGGGCAUCCAGGGAAGGAAGUGAAACUGCUGAGAGCAACCCUUCCUUCCUCUUACUCGCACGUCCAAGGGUUAAAAACACUUCCCAACUCUCCUUCCAACGGCAAGGUCAAGCAGCUGUCCAAGCCACCCAAGGAGAAGAGGGAGUCGUGGACAGCUGGCCCCCCCCUAGCUUGGUGGUGACAGGCCCUGCCAGCCCGGCUAAGGAAGAGUUAAUCGGCAAUCAGCUUUGGCCGAUAGUUCAGACUCCGAAGUUCAGUCCCAGUCCCAGCCACCCCGGAGGGAUUGUAAAUCUCAGAGCAGUAUUUAACAAAACAAAAGCAACCUGGAAUUACAUGCAGGUUCGGUUUUCUACAGUACACAUUUACUUAAUCCCCAAGGGCUGGCUGGAGAUGGCCUGGCCUGCCGGCCUCAAAUCCCUCUCUCGAUUGCUCUUGUCACUGGGUCCCGCAGCUUGGCGGGCAGCACCAGUCCGACGGCUGCUUUCGCCACUAGAUAGAUCAUCUGCAGAGGGAACACCACCAAGGCGCCCAGCCAUUUCCACACCAUCCUCCGCGCCGCGGAGCCGGGCAGGGGGCGAAACUCCCCGGACUGAACAAAACAGGAAUUAAAAAAGAAAACACCCCAAAACAAUAAUAAAUAAACCGAAUAAAAAA